Molecule: long non-coding RNA, 5409 nt
Filed under: Amborella trichopoda
Lineage: Eukaryota; Viridiplantae; Streptophyta; Magnoliopsida; Amborellales; Amborellaceae
Description: long non-coding RNA (ATRI_LNC000359)
Source: RNAcentral
UGCAUUGUUCAUAUGAAAUAUUAAAUAUCUAAUAAUGUCGUAAGGUCUAUCGAUUUUCACUAGAAAAUCACUAAUUUGUAAGACCCAAAUACACCUCUCUUAUAAAAAUAAGCUGUUAUCUUCAUUCUUAAUGUAAGAAUAGCCUCAAGUCACCGAUUCAACACACACACCCACGCACACAAACUGAAGAUCAUAUGCUCAUCAAGGAGCAAAUGUACAUUUGCUACCCUGGGCAAAAACCUAGGUAGGAGUAUUUUUUGGGGCCACAAAUAUUGUGGUUGUGACCUAUUCAACCUACGAACCACCCUUUAAAAGAAAAAAGUUGAAUAGAGACGUUGAAUCAGCCUAAAAAGAAUCAAGCCCAAGGAUUUCAUACAAGCCCUCCAAUUUUCAGAACAUAGAUCUAGGUAUUUAGGUACUUAAAUCCAUUUUUACUUUUUUGAAAACAUUCAUCUUGUGAUUUUUUUCCUCCACCAAAGAAUGGUAUUUGUGCUAAUACAAAAAGAUGCUAAACUCACUAAUUUGAACCAUUUUAUUGAGGUCAGCGAGUAAAUGUACUAGUGUAAAGACAGAAAGUAGAUGAAAAGCAAAGAAAAUUAUAGUUGUCUGGAAGCUAGCUCUCUUAUUAAAGAGAUGCUUCUAAGGUUAGAGAGCUAAAGAGUCUUUCUAUUUCAAAUGAUUGAUAUCUCUUCAUUUUCAGUGUUUUUUUUUAUUUAUAAUGUUAACCUUUAAUUAAGAAAAGAGUGUACAAAAGCCUUGACGAACCACCAAAAAUGAGCUCAAGGAGAGAAGAAAGGAGAGAAAGUGGGAUCGAGGCUCCUUCGAGAAGUUAGUGUUAAGGGACAGCAACCUAAGAAAAGAAGCCGAACCACCAUACAAAAAGAGUAGAAAAAGAAAAAAAACAAAAAGAGGGAAAGCCUUCUAGUUUCCAGUCAUCUCCGCUGCUUCUUUUGCAAGGGUAUCAGCUUCCUGGUUUCCUUCCCUCCAAAUAUGUGUCCACACGACAAACGUAUUCUUGCAGAGGUAAAGAAUCUGAUCAACUGUAUGAGCCAAAAACCAGGGGGGGAGGUUGUAGGAUUGUGAGCCCAGGUGUUCCUGGAGUCACCCGCUACGAUGAGAGAGGGCAAGUUGAAAUGUUGGAUGAGUUGUAAGCCUUCUAAAAGGGCUAUCACCUCAGCCUACAUCGAGUCUUUAUGGCCAAUGUGUUCGGAAACUGAAGCCACAGUAGAGCCGAGGUGGUCUCUAAGGAUGGCUCCAAUUCCUGACGGCCCUAGGUUGCCGAGGGAACAUCCGUCGAUGUUGAGUUUAAGCAUCCCCUGGGGAGCUGGCUUCCAAAGAGAAGACCUGGAAGGGCGAGAGCAGUGAUGUCGAAGGACAUUACUCCAACAUUGGUGAAAGGCCGAGGUCGGGAUGCCUUUGAAUCGAGGGUGAUUUGUGGCCUAGAAGAUGAUGGUAGAUUUGAGCUUGUUGAAGAUUUUGGACCAAGGGGAGUACUCCCCCUGAAAAUCCUGUGGUUACGCUCAAUUCAUAAGGCCCACAUGGAUGCAGCCACCGCUGAUUUCCAGAGGAUAAUCCUUUAAUUGGGACAAGGAAAAGGCUUGAUGGAGGAGAGAAUCAAAGUCACUUCUGCAGGCAGUACCCAUUCGACGUUGAACAACAUGAGGACUGCCACCCAAAGAUUGAAGGCGUAGGGACAGUGUAAAAAGAGGUGAUUAUCAGUCUCCUCCUCGGCUAGACACAAGACACAACGAUUGGGAAGUGGGAUGCCACGUCUUUGGAGCUGAUCAACAGUCAGUACUCCCUUGAAGAGGGCCAACCACAAAAAAAUCUUAAUAUAUUUGGGGGAGCUAAGAAAUCCCAGGCCUGGGCCGCAAUAGAUGUGGGUGCUAGGGGAAAUGUGGGAGGUAGCGACAGGCUACGAUAAAAGGAGGACACCGUGAAGGAGCCACUACUAGGAGUCAUCCAGAUGAAGCGAUCGUUGACCGCAAGAGCUAAGAAGCAGGCUUGUAGUUCUACCGAUAGAGAGGCGAAACUUGAAAGCUCUAGGUCAUUGAGAGUUCUCCUAAAGACUAGGUUCCAAGUGCGAGGGAUCCCAGUCAACAGCAUUUCUUGGGCUGUUGUUGUCCCUUGAUCUCUAGCAAGAUGGUAGAGAUCAAGAUGUUUGUCUCUAAGAGGGGUGUGACCCAGACAUAGAUCAACCAAAAGAGGAUUCGGUUCCCUGAUCUAGGAUGAAAUCUAAUUCAAGGUAUCACACCCCAAAUUUACUAACAUUCUUGCGGUGAGACAUACUAUUCUUAUAUAUAUAUAUAUAUAACAAUAUUCAGAAUUUCUACUUAUGUAUUGCACCAAAACGAAUUUUUCCAUUUCUAAAAAUUUGUACAAGUUCUACUCACAACCAAUAUUAACAGGAAGGUUCAUUCAGAAGUUUCCCAACUGUACAAAGUACACUUUUAACUUGUGUUAGCAUGAAGGUUCAUACAUUUACAAUUUUGAUAGAACAAAAAUUACAAAAAUAUUUGAUCUUGAGUACAAUUUCUUCGAAGCUACUCCUGUUGUACAACGCAUGAUAAGGCUGUCAUUACUCUGAAAAGAAUUCACAACAGUUUGAUGAGCUUGACUACUCAGUAAGUGGCCAUCAUUAUCCCAAAUUCAUAAUUGGAAAAUGUAAUAGUUUUUAAAAGACUUCAUAUUAAAACAAUACGAAGAGGAACAUAGAUGAAGAACAGUUUUAAGUUCAGAAACACACAAUUUAAUAUAAUCCCAAGCAUUGAGCUGCAUACAAAUACUUUGACAAAAAUGCAUAAUACAAGAGAUUUCACAAAAUACCCUACUGGCGUCCCAAGUAGGUAACCUAUAUAUCCCACUAGCGUCCUGGAUGGGUCCACUUCAUCCCUGCAGGUCCAAUCAUACCUCACCAGCGUACCGGAUGAAUCCACUUAAUCCCUACCGACGUACUGGAUAGGUUCACUUAAUACCUGCAGGUCCAAUCAUACCUCACCGGCGUACCGGAUGAGUCCACUUUAUCCCUACUGGCGUACCAGGUAGGUCUACUUAUACGUAAAUUAUCUCUGGAACUCUUUAAACAUCAUAAAGCAACAAUAUCGUAUAUUUAAAACAUCAUUGAAAUCCUUAACGUGAAUUCAAAUGAAUCAUUUCAUAAUAAUCACUUUCAUUGAAAUAUCUACAAGUCGCCAGUCAAACAUUUUGGGUAAUAAUUUCAGAAAGGUAGUAGUUUGAAAAGACAUUCUUGAAAUGAAACAUGAUAGACAGUCUAAUAUCAAUAGAAAAACUCUUAUGAGAACUCAAAAUUAAAUACGGAAUUCUCAUAAUUUAUGGGAAUGCAAAUACGCAAAUAAUCAUUUCACAUGAAUAGAUAGUGUUCAGACGGACAAAAUACAAUUAAAUACAGAAAUACGUGAAUCUUACAGUAGUGGCAAUACUACAAUCGAGAUACAUAUCUCAUGAUUAGAGUGAGGUGUCUCAUGGUGGCUAUUAUUCAAAUAAAAAAAAAUGACACAUGGAUGCCAUGUGUCAAGUGUAUAUUGAGUCCAACCCUUAUAAAUACCCCAUUGGCCCCUUAAAAAAAGCAUCAAUUGGUCCUCUCUCUCCUCUCCAAUAGGAGCUCCUCUCUCUCUCUACAUAAGUUCCUUCUCUCUCUCACUCAUUUCAAUUUCAAUUAUUCCUUUCCCUCCCUCAUCAUGCUCUCAUAAUAGUGCAAUUUUAAUAAGUGGUUAUUAUCAUCUCAUCAUGCUCUCAUAAUAGUGUAAUUUUAAUAAGUUAUUAUCAUCUCAUCAUGCUCUCAUAAUAGUGUAAUUUUAAUCAGUUUUUAUUAUCAUCUCAUCAUGCUCUUGUAAUUUUCAUUCUCAUCUCUCCCUCAUCAUCUCUCAUUAUAAUCAUCAUGAGCAUAAUUUUAAUAGUUUUCAAUUAUUCUCUCUCUCCCUCAUCAUACUCUCAUCAUGAGCAUAAUUUUAAUAGUUUUCAUUAUUGUCUCUCCCUCAUCAAAUCUCUCUCAUAAUGAUAGUAAUGAUGUUCUCAUUAUUAUAAAAUAUUACCUUCUUAGAAUAGUAGUCUUAAUUUCAUGACAUUCUCAUACAUUAUAGUAUAAUGAUUUCAUUCCCAUAUAUCAUUGUAUUCAUAUCGUGAAUAUAUUAAAUUAUAAUAUUUCACUCUCAUACAUGAUAUUAUUCUCAUAUCAUCCCCAUAUAGUAUAUCAUUGUCAAUCCCAGAGUAUUUCUAUAAUAGUAUUUUCAUUCCCAUAUCAUUCUCAUAUAUUAUAUUAUUAUGAUAGUUUGUUCAUUUUCAUGACAUUCUCACGCAUCAUCUCUCAUAAUUUGAAUAAUAUACUCACGAAGUACUAUUUUCUCAUAACGAUAGUAUUAUUUUAAUGAUUCUGUAAUAUUUCCUCUUCCUUAUGAAUAUAUUCUCUCUCCAUAAAAAGAAAACUCAUUUGACCCUUGUCCCACACCUUUAAUUGAACACCAGUAAUCUCGAUCAAACUCUGAUAGCAGUAGCCAUAUACCCAACUCGUGACCUAUAAAUAUAAGUGACCUCAUUCUCCUGAAAAUUAGUUCGCUUUUAAUAAAAUUAUGAUAUUCUGUACAUCACUUUUAUAAGUGUUAUGCGUAAAUGAUUUCAUUUUCUUGUAAAGUAGAACUAGUAAUUCCUCUUUUAGUAAAAUUGUGAGAUUUCCUUUUAUUGUUUUGAAUAUUUAGACACUGUAAAAUUCAUGUGCAAAUGACUUCAUUCUCCUAUAAAAUCAUUAUUCGAAAAACUGAUAUUUCUGCACUUGAUUGUAGUAUUGUCACUACUGUAAGAUUCACACAUUUCAGUAUUUAAUUGUAUUUUGUUUGUUUGAACGCUAUUUAUUCCUGUGAAAUGAUUACGUAUUUGCAUUCCCAUAAAUUGUGAUGAUUCCGUAUUUAAUUUUGAGUUCUCAUAAGAGUUCUUCUAUUGAUACUAGACUGUCUAUCAUAUUACAUUUCAAGAAUGUCUUUUCGAACUGCUACCUUUCUGAAAUUAUUGCCCAAAAUGGUUGACUGACUACUUAUAGAUAUUUCAAUAAAAGUGAUUAUAAUUAAUUUGUUCAAGUGAAUUCACGUUAAGGAUUUUCAUGACAUUUUAAAUAUAUAAUAUUGCUGCUUUCUGAUAUUUAAAGAGUUCCAGAGAUAAUUUAAGUAUAAGUAAACCUACCUGGUAUGCCGGUAGGGAUUAAGUGGACUCAUCAAGUACGCUCGUGAGGUAUGAUUGGACCUGCAAGGAUUAAGUUGAGCUAUCCGGUACGCAGGUAGGGAUUAAGUGGACUCAUCCCGUAUGCCGGUGAGGUAUGAUUGGACCUAUAGGGAUUAAGUGAACCUAUCUAGUACGCCGAUAGGGAUUAAGUGGACUCAUCCAAUAUGCCGAUGAAGUAUG